UACGGAGGGGGCUAGCGUUGUUCGGAAUUACUGGGCGUAAAGCGCGCGUAGGCGGAUCUGCAAGUCGGGGGUGAAAUCCCGAGGCUCAACCUCGGAACUGCCUUCGAUACUGCGGGUCUCGAGUCCGGGAGAGGUGAGUGGAAUUCCUAGUGUAGAGGUGAAAUUCGUAGAUAUUCGGAAGAACACCAGUGGCGAAGGCGACUCACUGGCCCGUUACUGACGCUGAGGCGCGAAAGCGUGGGGAGCAAACAGG
Molecule: ribosomal RNA, 253 nt
Filed under: uncultured bacterium
Lineage: Bacteria
Description: partial 16S ribosomal RNA
Rfam family: Bacterial small subunit ribosomal RNA
Source: RNAcentral